CUACGGGUCGCUGCAGUGGGGAAUUUUGCGCAAUGGGGGAAACCCUGACGCAGCAACGCCGCGUGAAGGAUGAAGGCCUUUGGGUCGUAAACUUCUGUCAGAGGGGAAGAAAUACUCGCAAGAGAGCUGACGGUACCCUCAAAGGAAGCACCGGCUAACUCCGUGCCAGCAGCCGCGGUAAUACGGAGGGUGCAAGGUUGUUCGGAAUUAUUGGGCGUAAAGCGCAUGUAGGCGGACUGUUAAGUCUGGUGUGAAAGCCCGGGGCUCAACCCCGGAAGUGCAUUGGAUACUGGCAGUCUUGAGUAUGGGAGAGGAAAGUGGAAUUCCGAGUGUAGGAGUGAAAUCCGUAGAUAUUCGGAGGAACACCAGUGGCGAAGGCGGCUUUCUGGACCAAUACUGACGCUGAGAUGCGAAAGCGUGGGUAGCAAACAGGAUUAGAUACCCCCGUAGUC
Molecule: ribosomal RNA, 452 nt
Filed under: uncultured bacterium
Lineage: Bacteria
Description: partial 16S ribosomal RNA
Rfam family: Bacterial small subunit ribosomal RNA
Source: RNAcentral